CGCCGCCUCCUCCGUCCACUCCGGCGGCCGCAUCGCCUUCCGCUUCCGUGUUCAUCUCCCAGCUCCCCACUCCCGCACAGGACAGGAAGCAGCCAUUCUCGUGUUCAUCUCCCAGCUCCCCACUCCCGCGCAGCACGGAAGCUCGCAAACCCUAGCGAAUCUCCCGUUCCGCGGUUACUCGGCGCGCGCCGGAGCCCGGAAUUGAACAGCAAUUAAUCUCUGGAAGCUUACGAACCGGCGGCUGGUGGCCGGUGUAGCGCAUAUGUUUAGACAAUCUACGAAUCGGAGGCAAUACCUUCCCACUCGCAGCAGGCCGUGCUGUUGUCAUGCCACGACAUGGCGAGGCCGCCAUCUCACGACAGCCCAGAAAGGAAACGGAGGAGGUUGCGCUUCUCCUGCUCAGUGCAUGCGGUGGCGGGAGAGGCCAAGAAGAGCAGCAGGAACAGCUGCAGCAUGACCGAAGGAACAGUGAAUGAAUGCAUUGGUUGCUAUUGGUUGAAGAAUGCAUGCAGUGGUGGUAGUUAUCAUCUAGUAAUGGAUUUUUUUGCACAUCAGACCUACUGAACACUACUCAUAAGAUUCCCUAUAUGUCCUGGGUGCACCUUAGGGCCCUGGGCCACGGUUGGUCCAUACGGAAAAGACAACGACACUAGCAUAGGAAAGCAACAUCUGUGCCUAUCAAUUAGCUGUAGUAAAAGGCUAUAAACUAGUUUAUAAAUCUAUCAUUUAGUUAUGGAUGGAUUAAAUAGUUACCGAUUAGUCCAAAAUUUUCAAGUAGCAAGAAGCCAAUCUAUCAUCUCGCUGCCCCAAGGUUCAUGUUUAAGUGUAAUAUAGUUGAAGAACAUAUUGGAAGGUUAAUUACUAGUUUGCUCAUCUUUCCCGGCCUAUUCAUGGCACUGCUGCUCAAUAAUACAUAGAUAUAGGUGGUGGUCUUUGGUUACAGACUUACAGCACUAGUUUUGUUUACCUCAAGUGACAGGCUGGCAUUUGGUAGGCAGGCCCAAAGGGGGUACCAACCUACUAAUGGUUGUGUUUUUCCCAUGGUUCAUGUCUAUGGUGGAUAUUCUGCUCAUAAUUAUUAUGUGGGGUCAUUUCCCACUAGCUCUUUGACUCUUUGUAGCUGAUGAAUACAUAUCCAUGAUUUCAGUUUGAAAAAUUGCUUAAUGGUUCUGUUUUCUGACUUUUUGUAGCUAAUGAAUAAAUAUCCAUGAUUUCAGCUCGGAAAACUGCUUCAUGGUUGUGUUUUUCUCAUGCUUCCUGUCAGUUCCUCAGAAAUCAUAUUAAUGUCAUUUCCUUUGGGAGAAGUCCUGGAACAAAAGCAGAAUUAAAGGUAAUUCUUUUCUGGCGACCACUUUGGCCUCAAAUGCAGUCUGCAGAAGAAUAUUGUUGCCAUGUUUCUCCAUGUUGAUUUCUGAACAUAGACGGUUUUGUUGCCAAAGCUUCUCCUCUUCAUAUUUAUGUUUGAUUAUACUCCCUCCGUCCCAAAAUUCUUGUCUUAGAUUUGUCUAGAUACGGAUGUAUCUAACACUAAAAUGUAACUAGAUACAUCCGUAUUUAGACAAAUCUAAGACAACAAAUUUGGGACGGAGGGAGUACAUGCAUGUGCCAACACAAAUUCUUCUUGACAAAUGGCACUUUGUCUGUUAUAUUUCACAUUGCCGUGUCUUUCCCAUGGAUAUGAACUCUUCGCUUUUUUUUACCAUGGAACUGAAGUAUUUUUUUCCUGCUUGCGGGGUCGCCAUCCUAUUUUUGCGUGCCUUUUAAUGUGCAAACUAUGUAAACAGUUCCUCUUUUAAAACUAGCGUAGGUCAGAAGGUCUGUUUAGUUUGUGCCUUCGUCCUAUCAAAAGUUUGCUAGCCAGAAUUUCGGUUGAGGUUUUACUUGCCAACCGAUUGGCCAACAUUGACUAGAGAAUGCAAUAGAGCUGGUUCCCAUCCAACAAAGACCAACGUGUUGAUCAUGGCAAAAAAAUAAAAAAAUCUAGUGUACACUUUGGUCGUAACCCAAUGUUCCAAACAUACCUUAAAACUAGCUAGAACACACCAUUUAGUUUUUAAAGUUGUUUAAUCUACCCUUCUUGACCUAAACAGGGUGGUUUUUGAUGGUGCGCUAUAGCUGGGGUAGCAAGCCGGAUGAUGGGCCGACCUCGAGGGCUAGCGGGUUGCGAGGGUUAUGCAGGCCUCCGAUCGACACGGGGAGCCCUCCUGAGGAAAGUCUGGUGUCUUGGCACAUAAUCAAAGGAUUCUACCAAGGAGCCCCCUAGGUUGGUUUAGGACUCGUGUAACUCUAGGCGUCGUCCUCCUUUAUAAGGCAAAACCAGGGGAUAGCUCAGGCAUCGACAUCGUUAUCAUUGUCUCAGUAUGUACAAACACCCUAUACUUGUAACCCCCUCAUGUGAGCAUUUUCCACCAUCGAUUAAAUUAAAGCACGAGUAGGAUGUUACAUCACGGGUUCAAGUCCUGGAAACAACCUCUUACAGAAAUGUAGGGAAAGGCUGCGUACUAUAGACCCAAAGUGGUCGGACCCUUCCCCGACCCUGCGCAAGCGGGAGCUACAUGCACCGGGCUGCCCUUUUUUUUAGGAUGUUACCUCAACAAUGAGGGCCUGAACCUGGGUAAACUCCUCGUGUGCGAUCCCCUCUGGUAGUCUGGUACUUCCAGCCACACUCUCCACCCUAUCAGGGUUACUGAUUGUUUCUUGGUAUCGUUAGUUGGCACGCCAGGUAGGGGCUGCAUCGUCCAGAGACCGAAUGCAGAUUAGAUCUCUGCUCAUGCCUGGAAUUUUCAUGCCGAAACUGGCGACAAAAGAACAGAAUCCACAGCCUCCUGGUGGAUGAGGUCUCGAUCUCUGACCCUGCGGCAUGGCGGCCGCGGCCUACACGCACUGUGAUACCCUGCUUGGCUAUGAGACGCUUCGUGAGUGUGGCCUCGACUUCCCACGCUAA
This is a long non-coding RNA of Triticum aestivum (bread wheat), 2944 nucleotides long. RefSeq lists it as uncharacterized. NCBI's taxonomy places the organism in Eukaryota, Viridiplantae, Streptophyta, Magnoliopsida, Poales, Poaceae. The transcript has 3 exons. The record is from RefSeq and is a predicted model, not a curated record.